GCUUCUGCAGUGCAUCUUCUGAAAUUGGAACAAUACAGAAAAGAUUAGCAUGGUGCUUGCGCAAAGAUGACAUACAAAUACUUUUAGAUGCAGGCAUGACUG
Molecule: small nuclear RNA, 102 nt
Organism: Octopus sinensis (East Asian common octopus)
Lineage: Eukaryota; Metazoa; Mollusca; Cephalopoda; Octopoda; Octopodidae
Source: RefSeq, a predicted model, not a curated record